UAGUCCACGCCGUAAACUAUGAUUACUCGAUAUUGGCGAUAUACGGUCAGUGUCUAAGCGAAAGUGAUAAGUAAUCCACCUGGGGAGUACGGUCGCAAGAUUGAAACUCAAAGGAAUUGACGGGGGCCCGCACAAGCGGUGGAGCAUGUGGUCUAAUUCGAAGCAACGCGCAGAACCUUACCACCCCUUGACAUACCUGUCGCGAUUUCCAGAGAUGGAUUUCUUCAGUUCGGCUGGACAGGAUACAGGUGCUGCAUGGCUGUCGUCAGCUCGUGUCGUGAGAUGUUGGGUUAAGUCCCGCAACGAGCGCAACCCACGCCUUUAGUUGCCAGCAUUUAGUUGGGCACUCUAGAGGAACUGCCGGUGAUAGGCCGGAGGAAGGUGUGGAUGACGUCAAGUCCUCAUGGCCCUUACGGGGUGGGCUACACACGUGCUACAAUGGCGGUGACAAUGGGUUAAUCCCAAAAAGCCGUCUCAGUUCGGAUUGGGACCUGCAACUCGGUCCC
Molecule: ribosomal RNA, 506 nt
Filed under: uncultured bacterium
Lineage: Bacteria
Description: bacterial SSU rRNA
Rfam family: Bacterial small subunit ribosomal RNA
Source: RNAcentral